UCCGCAGUAGCUCAGUUGGUAGAGCGACUCCCUGUUAAGGAGUUGGUCGUAGGUUCGAGUCCUACCUGCGGAG
RNAcentral lists this transfer RNA (73 nucleotides) under Candidatus Staskawiczbacteria bacterium RIFOXYA2_FULL_32_7. RNAcentral describes it as "tRNA-Asn". It matches the Rfam family "tRNA". From Rfam's summary of the family: Transfer RNA (tRNA) molecules are approximately 80 nucleotides in length. Their secondary structure includes four short double-helical elements and three loops (D, anti-codon, and T loops). Lineage: Bacteria; Candidatus Staskawicziibacteriota. The record is from RNAcentral. RNAcentral also lists the same sequence under 4 other names.